UCAGAAUGUCGUCUGCUCUCUGCAAAUUUUUGUUACCUAAAAAACCGCUAAAACGUGACACGCCACGCUUUAGUUUUGUGGCUAUAAAAUAUAAAAAAUCUAUGAGUGUAAACUAUUAAAAGUGAUUUAUAUCUCAACUUGUGUAAUCUGUAAUACAACAACGACCUGAAAAACGAAUAUCCUAAAAACCUAGACUUUGCCUAGACACACAAGGACACAAGUUCUGGAUUGGGAUUUGGGAAGCACAUGGAAUUCCUCAUGCAACAAGAAUGAAGUCAAUUUCUUUUCAAACUGUGCUACCAAACUGAAUUGAACGCUUUUGUGUCUGCUGCUGCAUUUUUCCAGUAGACUUUUCCUGCCCUUCCCCUCAAAAUAUUGACGUGAGGCUGCCAUAAGUUCUAAAGCCGAAAAUGAUGUAUGACUUUAUGAGGUAUGGGCUCAAUGCCAU
Molecule: long non-coding RNA, 448 nt
Organism: Daphnia pulex (common water flea)
Lineage: Eukaryota; Metazoa; Arthropoda; Branchiopoda; Diplostraca; Daphniidae
Exons: 3
Source: RefSeq, a predicted model, not a curated record